UUUAGUAAAGGAACAGAGAUGCAUCACAGAUUUCAUCACUUGUCUUGGCAUUUUUUAAAAGUCUGAUCAACUUUGUUUUCUGGUGCUCAGAACAGGGUUUUUUCACCAGUAAACCUGGAGUAAGCAGUACAUUGAGUGGCGAGCGGAAAUUGUUGACACUUUACUUCCACAAUGUUUUGUGGUGACACCAGACUUGAUACUUCUUUUGGAAAUGUUUUGACCAAAAAUAAUAAACAACAUAUUACGGCCGGUUUAAUAAUUAAUUCAUAGAACAAACUGCACACAUUCACACGUUCAGAGGAGCCUGAAUGAUGACAUCGUCACUGAUAAACCCCACAUGCACACAACUCAUAAUCGUUCAGUUGUAGUCACUCAGAUAUACAGCACAUGCAAUGUGACGAUGACUGUAUACCACCGCCUAGGUUUCAGUCAUGUCACCAAUUAACCUGGAAGUGGAAGUGUAUUUAAACGGCAUACCGGAAGUCAGAGAGAAGUGUGGGAGAGAGGAGUAAUGAGUUGGGUGGUAAAGGUUUUUUUUGUAUGCCAGAAAGAGGACGUUUUUGCCACAGCGUGUGAGAAGUCUGAGCGUCACGAACGCCAACACAUGGGGAACUAGUCUGCGUGUUAUCCGGUGAUCGGACUUGCAAAUGGAUUACUUACGGAUGUAAGAAGUUGCGGGACUCUCAGACAUUGUCUGCUGUGUGGCGCUCGUGCUGGAAAGCUCCAAAGACAUGUUUUGCUUGGAUUCGGCGUGUUAUCUGCUGAUCGGACUUGCAAAUGGAUUACUUACGGAUGUAAGAAGUUGUGGGACUCUCAGACAUCGUCUGCUGUGUUGCGCUUGUGCUGGAAAGCUCCAAAGACACGUUUUGCUUGGAUUCGGCGUGUUAUCCGCUGAUCGGACUUGCAAAUGGAUUACUUACGGAUGUAAGAAGUUGCGGGACUUUCAGACAUCGUCUGCUGUGUUGCGCUCGUGCUGGUCCCCGAGGUACUUGUUCUAAACUCUUCUUCCCCUGACCUAAGAGGUUUUUCUGUUUUUUUGUAUGAGUUGUUGGUGAUGUGGUGCACCUUAAGUGAUCUACUUUGAAUACUACAAAUAUUGGGGUAACAGUGUUUGUUUUUCAGCAGUACUCAUUUCCUGAUAUACACAUACACACACCCACACACAUCUUAAACAUAAACCACCCCAAUGGCCACACAUCCCCCUUCACAAUCCCCUAUGGUGGAUAUUGAUUCCUCUCCUGAUAUUUCCACACCUGGUGGACUCCCAGGACUCGAAAGAUUGCAAAAUAUAAAACAACCACAGUGUGAUUUAACUUUUUGCUCUUCAACUGCAAUGCAACCCAGGCCACAACACGGAUCUUAUGUCCGUUUUGCUUCCAUGCCACUAGAUGGUAGUCUUCGGGAGGGUAGCCUUCCGGUUCAAGAUCGAGCUUCGGAGCAGUAAAGUGACCCUGACCGCAUGCAAUUGUGUACAUCUGAUUAAACCUCAGUAACCUCCUCAGGAAUGCAAUAUGAUUUGCCUGUCUUCCAGCCUAAUUUAUUAGCUACACCUGGAAAAGAAGUGUAUAAUCUUACAACUCGGGUACAAGGGAAUUUGGAUUAUUUAUUGCAAUGUCAGACCUAAAAGACCAUGAGUGAAAUUAACAAUGAAUUAAAACAGGUCAAGUCUAACUAUAGUGGACAACUGAAUGCUCUUACUUCGGAAAUGGAGGCUAAUCAUCAGCAAAUUCUCACCACUUUCACGGCCGUUAAACAACAGAGGGAACAAAAGGAUACAGAAGCUGAUCAAUUAAUGAAAGCCAUGAGAGUAUUACUAUCAGAGUCACUGCAGAACACUGAUACAACCUUGAGUAAUGUUUUGCGCUUUAUGAUCGAACAGCUUCAAGAAGAGUUGCAACAAGAGAUCAAAACCACUCGACAGAUUCAUCAAAAAGAACAAGAGCAGCUCUCGGCAGAAGUUUACAGAGGCAACCUAAAAAUGGAUGAGGUAUUCAAUAAGAUAACAGAAUUUCAAGGUGAAAUGAAGAACAAUUUUCACGCUCAAGAAAAAGCCCUUGCAAACAUGCAAAAAGUUAUAAUGUCAUCUAAGCCAAGCUCUGUUCAACUCACUCCUGUUGCCCAUUUGCCUACUACUGCUGCUGAUCGUGUACCUGGUACCACUGCCCAAUUACACUCUUCUACUAUAAAAAGUGAUCAUCUGAAGGUAGUUUUUCCUACUUUUGGAAAACCAACUGAUGAUAGAGACCCUUUACUAUUUUUGGCAAAGUGUCAGGACUUCUUAGCUUUGCAUCCUUUGUCAGAUGCUGAUAUGAUGGCAACUUUUCGUACUGUCCUGCAUGACACAGCAAGAGACUGGUGGGAAGUCGCUCGGUCAUCCAUAAAUACUUGGAAUGAAUUUGAAACAGCAUUUCGUUCAGCCUUUUUGUCAGAGGACUAUGAAGAUGAAUUAGCAGAACGAGUUCGUACCCGAACACAAGGGGAAAAUGAGCCAAUUCGGUAUUUUGCUUUCACUUACAGAGCAGUGUGCAAAAGGUGGAAGUCAACCCUAACAAAAGCAGAGAUAGUGAAGAUGGUACUCAAGAAUGUAAAACCACACCUCGCCAGUCAGUUACGUAGCCGCGUUAGUGCAGUGGAGGACCUUGUAAAAUUGGGUCAUCAACUAGAAAAAGACUACGAUCAGCAAUUGCAGUAUGCAUCAGGCCAAAAUCGGAAAACAAUUCCAGAUAGGUCAUCCAAGUCUCCAAACAGAUUUGAUCACAAUGUGCCUUCUGUAUGUUGCUGGAGAUGUAAGGGUCACCAUGCUCAAGGGAAUUGUCCUCAUUAUGCAGCCCCUUCUAACCGGCCGGAUAACCACCCAUCUGGAAAUAAAAGGUCUUUUCCAAACUCUAGACCUGGACAUCAGACUUCCAACACUGCUGUCACUGCUACCGCUAAACCUAAACCAACAAAGACCAAAAAUUCAAGCUCUUUACCAGCUGCUACUCACUCUCCUAUCGUCCCACCUCAAUUAGUUGUCCCGGUCUGCAUCAGCAGUUGGUCAGGAAAAGCUAUAGUAGACACAGGAGUAAGUUACACGAUGAUUCACGAGAAUUUGUGGAAAAAACUUACCCCUGCGAAGAAUUUGCAGCCUUGGACUUUAGGACCUUUGUAUCUGGCAAAUGGAGAAGAAGACAUUCCUGGAGGAUGGAUACACCAAAAAAUCUGCCUCUAUGAUCAUGCAUUCACCCUGCCUAUUGCUGUCAAACCCCCACCCUCAAAAGCCCUUGCUUAUUCAGUGGUCCUAGGAUUAGACUUCAUCUUCUUCAGUGGCAUGCAACUCAAUGUCAUUGAUGGACAAUAUUCAUUUAAGUCAAAACCAGAAGAACAUCAUCUGUUCCAACCUGGAAACGCCACAGUGCCUGCAAGUGGUCAAACCAAAAAUACUGCACGAAGUGCCAAGAAUCUUAAAAGCCUAUCUUUGCUAAGCGCUAUUCCCCCUCCACAACCUAAACUCAUACUGUCAACUCGUGACAACACCAAUGAAAAAGUCUUGAUUGAGAAUGCUGUGAAUAAUGCCCCCUAUCUCUCAAAGGCAAAGAACAUUUGCAAGAAAUCUUGGAGAGCAACACACAACACGUACACUCCAACUGGGGCGAACUGAUGUUCUGCUAAAUUGCAUCUACACAAACCAGCAAGUACCUAUUAAACAGAGGUCCCCUGGCAAACAAACUCUAGUCAAAGAGCAACUGGAAGAAAUGCUAAAGGCAGGACUUGUGGAGCCAUCAAGCUCAGGCUGGGCCUCCCCAGUGGUGUUGGUUCCCAAGAAGGAUGGUAGUAUGAGAUUCUGCGUUGACUACAGGAAGCUUAAUGCCAUAACUCAAAGCGACGCAUAACCCAUUCCUCACAUUGCAGAAAUCCUUGAAUCCCUUGCCGGUGCAGGUAUUUUCUCCACUAUAGACCUCAAUAGUGGUUACUGGCAGGUAGCCAUGGAGCCUUCCAGUAAACCAAUGACUGCUUUCAUCACCCAUAUAGGACUCUUUCAGUUUAAUAUUAUGCUAUUUGGAUGUAAAAACGCUCCUGCCACCUUCCAGCGGUUAAUGGAGACUGUAUUAGGAGAAUUGUGUGGAAAGAUGUGCUUUGUCUACAUCGAUGAUAUAAUCAUUUUCUCUGAAAACUUGACUCAACAUUUACAAGACCUCCAAAUUGUCUUUCAAAGACUACAAAACGCAGAAUUGACCAUUAACCUCAAAAAAAGUAAAUUCUGCCUUCAAGAGAUUUCAUUCCUGGGACAUGUAGUUAGUACCAAAGGAAUCAUGGCAGACCCAAGUCAAAUUGAGGCCAUUCGAGCUUACCCAGUACCCACAAACCUCAAAGAGGUACAACGGUUCCUUGGACUGGCUGGGUGGUACCAUCGGUUCGUUCCGAACUUCUCACAAAUCACGGAACCCAUUAAUGCUCUGAAAAGGAAGGGGAAAACAUUUCAGUGGUCAGACCAAUGCCAGCGACAUCGGUCUGGGAGCUGUGUUAACCCAAAGAAAAGAACACGGGACAGAAGAAGUCAUUCCUUAUGCAAGCAGAACUCUUACCAAAGCAGAGAUAAUAAACUAUUCUGCUACAGAGAAGGAAUGUCUGGCUGUGGUUUGGGCUCUCGAGAAAUAGCAAUAUUAUCUGGAGCAUAGAUUGUUCACCAUAGUGACUGAUCAUUCUGCCCUUCUAUGGGUUAUGACCUCUAACAAAACCACAAGUUGGCUCAUUCGAUGGGCUCUACGGUUGCAAAAAUUUGACUUUAUCGUUGAGUACAGGAAGGGCAGAUUGAAUGCCGCCCCAGAUGCCCUCUCUAGAAUAUCCAAUUUAUCAGCAUGCAGUGUUUUUACCAGCCAGGAAAGUGAGACUCCUUUUCCAAUUACAGCUGUAAACCUAUGGGAAGAACAACAUAAGGACCCCGAGAUUGAAAGGAUCUUCAAAACCAUAGCAAACAAUGAGAAUGAAGCCCCAGAAUUGUGCGAGAUUGUCAAGGACAUAUUGUACAUCAAGACACAACUGCCAAAAGGUCCAGUUCUAUACAGAAUGUACUUACCCAAAACACUUAUACCUACAAUCCUACAGCAUUACCAUGCACAUCCGUUGAGUGGACACGGAGGUAUCUAUAAAACUUACAAAUGCCUACAGAAUGUAGUCUACUGGCCAAAAAUGUGGACUGAUGUUAAGAAUUAUGUCAAGUGCUGUGUCAAGUGUCAAAAACACAAGUUUGAAAAUCGAAAACCUGCUGGUAAAUUGCAAGCCAUAACAACACCCAGGCCUAAUGAAAUGUUAGGAGUGGACAUCAUGGGACCGUUACCGAGCAGCAGUCCACACCGCCAAGAAUACCUUUUAGUUUGUGUGGACUAUUUCUCACGCUGGGUUGAAAUGUUCCCCAUGCGUAAAGCAGGUGCCCAGUCCAUUGCUACGGAAAGACAUUAUUAUCCGUUGGGGUGUGCCAGACUACCUCCUGUCAGAUCGAGGAACCCAAUUUGUUUCAUCACUUUUCAAGGAACUAUGUGCACAGUGGAAUAUUACACAAAAACUGACAACUGCAUAUCACCCCCAAACUAACAUGACCGAGAGAAUUAAUCGCACCCUCAAGUGUAUGAUCGCCUCUUAGCUUGAUGGAAACCACAAAAAAUGGGACCAAUUCCUACCUGAGCUCCGCUUUGCUCUAAAUUCAUCACUCCAAGAAAGUAUCGGGAUGUCACUAGCGGAACGUCAACUGGGUCGGAAGCUUCAAGGACCAUUAGACAAACUGCUCAAAAGUCAGAAAAGGGAUCUUUCACCCUGUGACCCACCUUAUGAUGUAGUAAGCCACAUAGCCCAACUGCAAGAGAGAGCAAAAGAAAAUUGUGCCCAAGCCAAAAAACGCCAACUCAGAAACUACAACAAAAACCGACGUGAAUUGAUCUUCAAAGAACAAGCUCGUGUCUGGCUAAGGAAUUUCCCACAGUCCAGUGCUCAACACAACUUUAGUGCAAAGCUUGCCCCCAAAUGGAAAGGGCCCUACAGAGUCAUCAGGCAAUUGGGUCCAGUAAAUUAUCAAGUAGCUUUGGAGACCACUGGGGAAGAUGUCAGAACAACGCACGUCGUAAAUCUAAAACCUUGCUAUCCCACAGCCAAUGACAUGGAAAUGUAUGGGAAGCAAAGACUUCAGGAAAUCUUCCAAGAGACAUCAGAUGAUGAGACCAAAUUCUUGGACUUUGAAGUGUAGCUAAACUUUUUUCAACCUAGGGGGUGUUUUUCUCUGGGGGGGAAAUGUGACGAUGACUGUAUACCACCGCCUAGGUUUCAGUCAUGUCACCAAUUAACCUGGAAGUGGAAGUGUAUUUAAACGGCAUACCGGAAGUAAGUCAGAGAGAAGUGUGGGAGAGAGGAGUAAUGAGUUGGGUGGUAAAGGGUUUUUUUGUAUGCCAGAAAGAGGACGUUUUUGCCACAGCGUGUGAGAAGUCUGAGCGUCACGAAUGCCAACACAUGGGGAACUAGUCUGCGUGUUAUUCGGUGAUCAGACUUGCAAAUGGAUUACUUACGGAUGUAAGAAGUUGCGGGACUCUCAGACAUUGUCUGCUGUGUGGCACUCGUGCUGGAAAGCUCCAAAGACAUGUUUUGCUUGGAUUCGGCGUGUUAUCCGCUGAUCGGACUUGCAAAUGGAUUACUUACGGAUGUAAGAAGUUGCGGGACUCUCAGACAUCGUCUGCUGUGUGGCACUCGUGCUGGAAAGCUCAAAAGUCCAGGUCCCCGAGGUACUUGUUCUAAACUCUUCUUCCCCUGACCUAAGAGGUUUUUCUCCAUCACACUUCAUACACAAACACAUCGAAUACCCCUACACCUACAAACACAUCAUAUGCGCUUUCUAUCAACCGUGUUUAGCUAUCAUUUUUGUUUGUGUUAUUGCUUGAUAAUUUGGAGGGACAGUAAUACGUCAUACAUUUCUUUUGAUUGGGAAUUCAAUUGAUUUAGUUUUUCCCUAUUUGAGUUUCGUGAUUAUUGUUUUGAUGUUGAUUAUGGAGACGUGAAAAGUGUGAAUUGAUUUUUUUUUUGAAGUGAAACAAAAACCCAAGUAAACGAUACAUUUGAUGUUUAAUACUGAAAUCUGUGUUUGUGCAAUAAUUUUAUCUUUUUAUGUAAUUGGUGGUAAGAGCUAAGCUGGGUUAUAUUAAGAGUUACCCUUACAUCACUGAUAUACACAAUUGGUGGAUUUAAGUCCACCUGGCGCCCAACUUGUAUUCUUUUACAUUAUUGCUAUAAAACAGAUCUAGGGUGUUAAGGGAGAGCCACCGUUACAGCAACAAGCGCUCUACUCCCUAAACGACACAAUUUAUGCUGCCAGCCUUUCCGGCUUUUAUCCUUGUCCUAAAUUUUCACUGUCUAGCAAGGAGAGAGAGAAACUUGUCUUUUGAUCAUUCAUCUGCAGAUGAAUGAAACCGCUUUCUCUCUCCCUGGCAGACAUGAGCUUGUCCUAUUUUCUCAGUUUUUUGCUUCUGUUUCCCUGGGCCAGUGGAGAGUAAGUAGUAUCCCAGGGCUGACCGACAGGGACGAGUGAAUGGUUUGCAAAGAAAGAAAGAAGUUUGAAGAGAGAGGUUUGACUUCACAGUUUCUCCUCUGUCAGAUCUGACACGUCUCUGCUUGAGAGGAUGAUGGGAGGUGCAGGUGAUUGAUACAGUGAGUGAAACUACAGUACUGUGGGUCAGUUUAAACAAGUGUCUGGUGUGUUUUGUGUGUUUCAGAGGGUGUUUGAUGUGGUGUAUCCAAUGGCCCCAGACCAGAGGAGACACGUCAGUAUAAAUUCUGCUUGCUGGCUGCCUGAAGCAGGGCUUGGACUUGCUUAAGGAACCAACAAAGGAGAUCUGGUCAUCUGCAGACCUUGAUGUAAAUGGCGACAGCUCUUGUCAACCCUCAGAGACCACGUUCACCAUCAAUAAUAGUUGAGGGGUGGAAUUCGCAGGAGGAGGAGCGGAGAGAGGAUAGGAUCAACCAACCCUCGGCCCUCCUAUUGCCAGCCCAGAUCAAGACUCAUGACAGGAGCACGGUGCUGAGUGGAAGGGCACAACAAAAGACUGCUGACAUCAUGACCAGCAGGACGGAUUGGGCUUCAAAUAGAGAGAUGGGCCUGAUGAAUCCCAUUGGUCUGCAACCACGACAUCCUGCCCCAGAUGUUCCAUCACAGGGGACACAAAUGCAACGUUUACAGAAUGCAGAGACGCAACCGAACCGUAACCUUGAGGAUUAACCUCAGCAGCCCAGCACUUCUCAGGGGUCGCAAGUUACUGAUGGUCAGGAGUAUGUUUCACGUAUCCAAAUGUUAAUGGCAGAAGGAGGAAGGACUACAGUUGUCCACCACUAUGGCUUCCAUGGGCAGCUUCAGCAAAAACAUUGUUAUCGGCCACUGUAUUCAUCGUGGCUCCCAGACAGGAGUGGAUGCACAGAGCCACGCCCUUUCAUGCCCCGCUCGUGGCCGCUCCUGUGUCUUUGGCUGAAGCCGCAAGCUACUGCUCCCGAAUUAUUACCAACACGCUGGGGCAUCAUACUAACACAGACCAGGGCUCUUCUACAGGGGUAGACGUGGCACCCUUUGUAGAACAGGAGAGACUUCACACCUCCCUCCUUUCAAAGGAGUUUUCCCCUCUUUUCUCAUCUGCUCCAGACACAAAUGGCCCAUCCGCUUCCAUGGAAACAGGCAGUGUCUUGGAGGGGGAAGAGCUUCAUGAUCUCACAUCCCUACCUCCAUCCUUACUUUCAUCCUCACCCUCUCUUUCGCCUGUGCAUAACAAUAACUACAGAAGAAGUGAGAAUAGUUAUCAUGGAGAUGAGUACGGGAGGUCAAAGACAGGCUGUAGAUUUAUUAAAACCAGCACAUCGUAAACUUCUAGAAAUAUUUGCACUUAACUGUUGUGUUCCCCUGCCAUCAGCAUAAGGAUUACAAAAUCUUUACCCAGUUUUUUGAGUUGGUCAUUUAAGCCAGAGAAGAUGAAAUAAACAUGACAACAGGAAAGAUGGAAGGUUUUAUAAGUAUUAUAAAAUUGUCUUGCUCUGACCCUAAAAUAUUUUCUGAAAGGUUGUGUGACCCUUCACUUCCCUAACUGACUCCAACAUUUACAGUAAACACAGUGUGAGACUCAGACAGUCACACCAUGAAAAAAUCAGACAGAUGUGUAUGUGCAUGUGAGAGAGACACUAACCCAGUUCUGUCAUUUACUGUAGGUUUUUUAAAGCCCUUUCGAAAGUUAAGCAGACACCUGACAACAUUUGUGUUGCAUCCGUUCCUUUCAUUUCUUAUGUAGCACUCUGGUUCCGAUCUGCUGUCUCAGAAAACAGUUCAGAGAGGCUGUGUGUUCAGAGACUGUCCAUGACGUUGAACUUCAAAGUGUGUCCCGGCCUCUGUUGUUGAGCUUUCUGAAUUUUAGACUCAUUUUGGCUUCAGUAGUUUUAGGCUUUGACCAGCUGUCCACAAACAAAAUCCCACUGGAACUGUUAGCACUGAUAAGGGCUCUCAACUAGAGUUACCAGUAAACAUGAUGAAAAUAUCUCAUCUGGUGAAGUGUACCUUCUGUUGACAUGUAACUUUAGGGAAAGGCUUCGUAAUGUGAAGUCUCUGUUUGAAAAUUCUGGCCAGCCGUUUCAUACGGAGAGUUACUGCACAAGAAAGGUGGACGUCUGAAUGUUUUUAUGUUGUAUUCGCACCUUAAUGCAUAAUUUUCUGCAUUGCUUCUUUUGGCAAACUACUUUAUCCUUUAAAUGAAUUUCUGGCAAUGUCCCCAGCAUCUUGUCACAGAGCACAACCCUCAUUUUCUGGUAAACAAUGAAACCUCUGCUUUUAGAAUUCUGCUCACUAGCCUCGACUACAGUAAAAAACAACAGUUUUAGUACUUCAUGUGUUUGGUCUGGAGGACAGAUGAAAGUGGUUGUUUUCUCAUGUGUACUCUUCUGAUGGUUUAUCUACUUAACAUUAAAAGUGACUUUAUUUUUGUC
Triplophysa rosa is the source of this 9972-nucleotide RNA transcript. It is a transcript of the gene named cholinergic receptor, muscarinic 4a, with no coding region annotated. The record is from RefSeq and is a predicted model, not a curated record. The transcript is spliced from 5 exons. Lineage: Eukaryota; Metazoa; Chordata; Actinopteri; Cypriniformes; Nemacheilidae.